CCUUCGGGGAGCCUACACAGGUGCUGCAUGGCUGUCGUCAGCUCGUGUCGUGAGAUGUUCGGUUAAGUCCGCUAACGAGCGCAACCCUCGCUGUGUGUUAUAAGUGUCACACGGGACUGCCGGUCUUAAGCCGGAGGAAGGUGGGGAUGACGUCAAGUCAGCAUGGCCUUUAUGUCCUGGGCUACACACACGCUACAAUGGGCAGUACAAUGGGUUGCUAAGCCGCGAGGUAGAGCCAAUCCCCAAAGCUGUCCUCAGUUCAGAUCGUAGGCUGCAACUCGCCUGCGUGAAGACGGAGUUGCUAGUAACCGCAGGUCAGCUAUACUGCGGUGAAUACGUUCCCGGGCCUUGUACACACCGCCCGUCACGUCAUGGGAGCUGGCAACACCUGAAGCCGGUAUUCUAACCCGCAAGGGAGGGAGCCGUCGAGGGUGGGGUCGGUGACUGGGACGAAGUCGUAACAAGGUAGGUGUACCGGAAGGUGCGCCU
RNAcentral lists this ribosomal RNA (489 nucleotides) under uncultured bacterium. Its description in RNAcentral is "bacterial SSU rRNA". It matches the Rfam family "Bacterial small subunit ribosomal RNA", at positions 1017 to 1519 of the family's 1533-position model. The record is from RNAcentral.